Molecule: ribosomal RNA, 797 nt
Filed under: uncultured bacterium
Lineage: Bacteria
Description: bacterial SSU rRNA
Rfam family: Bacterial small subunit ribosomal RNA
Source: RNAcentral
AGAGUUUGAUCCUGGCUCAGAUUGAACGCUGGCGGCAUGCCUUACACAUGCAAGUCGAACGGCAGCAUGGGAGCUUGCUCCUGGUGGCGAGUGGCGAACGGGUGAGUAAUGCAUCGGAACGUGCCCUGAAGUGGGGGAUAACGCAGCGAAAGUUGCGCUAAUACCGCAUAUUCUGUGAGCAGGAAAGCAGGGGAUCGCAAGACCUUGCGCUUUAGGAGCGGCCGAUGUCGGAUUAGCUAGUUGGUGGGGUAAAGGCUCACCAAGGCGACGAUCCGUAGCGGGUCUGAGAGGAUGAUCCGCCACACUGGGACUGAGACACGGCCCAGACUCCUACGGGAGGCAGCAGUGGGGAAUUUUGGACAAUGGGCGAAAGCCUGAUCCAGCCAUGCCGCGUGAGUGAAGAAGGCCUUCGGGUUGUAAAGCUCUUUCGGCGGGGAAGAAAUCGCAUUCUCUAAUACAGGAUGUGGAUGACGGUACCCGAAUAAGAAGCACCGGCUAACUACGUGCCAGCAGCCGCGGUAAUACGUAGGGUGCGAGCGUUAAUCGGAAUUACUGGGCGUAAAGCGUGCGCAGGCGGUUUCGUAAGACAGACGUGAAAUCCCCGGGCUCAACCUGGGAACUGCGUUUGUGACUGCGAGGCUAGAGUUUGGCAGAGGGGGGUGGAAUUCCACGUGUAGCAGUGAAAUGCGUAGAGAUGUGGAGGAACACCGAUGGCGAAGGCAGCCCCCUGGGCCAAUACUGACGCUCAUGCACGAAAGCGUGGGGAGCAAGCAGGAUUAGAUACCCUGGUAGUCCAA